Molecule: ribosomal RNA, 634 nt
Filed under: Escherichia coli
Lineage: Bacteria; Pseudomonadati; Pseudomonadota; Gammaproteobacteria; Enterobacterales; Enterobacteriaceae
Description: bacterial SSU rRNA
Rfam family: Bacterial small subunit ribosomal RNA
Source: RNAcentral
CAGAUUGAACGCUGGCGGCAGGCCUAACACAUGCAAGUCGAACGGUAACAGGAAGAAGCUUGCUUCUUUGCUGACGAGUGGCGGACGGGUGAGUAAUGUCUGGGAAACUGCCUGAUGGAGGGGGAUAACUACUGGAAACGGUAGCUAAUACCGCAUAACGUCGCAAGACCAAAGAGGGGGACCUUCGGGCCUCUUGCCAUCGGAUGUGCCCAGAUGGGAUUAGCUAGUAGGUGGGGUAACGGCUCACCUAGGCGACGAUCCCUAGCUGGUCUGAGAGGAUGACCAGCCACACUGGAACUGAGACACGGUCCAGACUCCUACGGGAGGCAGCAGUGGGGAAUAUUGCACAAUGGGCGCAAGCCUGAUGCAGCCAUGCCGCGUGUAUGAAGAAGGCCUUCGGGUUGUAAAGUACUUUCAGCGGGGAGGAAGGGAGUAAAGUUAAUACCUUUGCUCAUUGACGUUACCCGCAGAAGAAGCACCGGCUAACUCCGUGCCAGCAGCCGCGGUAAUACGGAGGGUGCAAGCGUUAAUCGGAAUUACUGGGCGUAAAGCGCACGCAGGCGGUUUGUUAAGUCAGAUGUGAAAUCCCCGGGCUCAACCUGGGAACUGCAUCUGAUACUGGCAAGCUUGAGUC